UUUUUUUUGUUUGUUUGUCUAACUCUAGAGCAAAGUACUCAAAACAUAACUCAAUUUUCUGUUGUGAAGUACUACUAAAAUAUUCGUUAAAUUUGACCUGUGAUCAUAUAGGUCAGCUUUGAAGCGGUACUGAACGCGCGACAGGAACAGAGAACGAACGAAUGCAGUCAACUCCGUGAACAGAUUCGAUCGAGCAGAGCAGCAACUUAAUCGCGAUUCCAUUAGGUACGGGAAAGUAUAUAUGUAAUUCAUCCCAUUGAUGGCAACAGCCAGAAACAAGCCCACAACGAUCGAUCUCGGUUUGUACACAACAUCCAUAAAUUGGCCUGCUCAGCUAAUUAACCACCCUCACGAAUCCACCUAAGUAGUGCAUGCAUGAACCGGCGCCACCCGAUUCUCUGGCUGCACGCUAGUAGUAGUAGUACUGCUAGUUUAUUCUUCACUCCGGCGGG
Molecule: long non-coding RNA, 452 nt
Filed under: Triticum aestivum (bread wheat)
Lineage: Eukaryota; Viridiplantae; Streptophyta; Magnoliopsida; Poales; Poaceae
Description: long non-coding RNA (TAES_LNC024639)
Source: RNAcentral